AGAGUUUGAUCCUGGCUCAGGAUAAACGCUGGCGGCGUGCCUAACACAUGCAAGUCGAACGCCCUUGGCAACAAGGGAGUGGCGGACGGGUGAGGAACACGUGGGUACCUGCCCUGAGGUGAGGAAUACCGGCGAGAAAUCGCCGACAAUACCGCAUAGCCUUCGUAAGAAGGAAAGCUCGCAAGAGCGCCACAGGAGGG
RNAcentral lists this ribosomal RNA (200 nucleotides) under uncultured bacterium. RNAcentral describes it as "partial 16S ribosomal RNA". It matches the Rfam family "Bacterial small subunit ribosomal RNA", at positions 8 to 228 of the family's 1533-position model. The record is from RNAcentral.